UACAGAGGUCUCAAGCGUUGUUCGGAUUCAUUGGGCGUAAAGGGUGCGUAGGCGGCGCGGUAAGUCGGGUGUGAAAUCUCGGAGCUUAACUCCGAAACUGCAUUCGAUACUGCCGUGCUUGAGGACUGGAGAGGAGACUGGAAUUUACGGUGUAGCGGUGAAAUGCGCAGAUAUCAGGAGGAACACCGGUGGCGAAGGCGGGUCUCUGGGCCGAUACUGACGCUGAGGCGCGAAAGCCAGGGGAGCGAACGGG
RNAcentral lists this ribosomal RNA (253 nucleotides) under uncultured bacterium. RNAcentral describes it as "partial 16S ribosomal RNA". It matches the Rfam family "Bacterial small subunit ribosomal RNA", at positions 524 to 776 of the family's 1533-position model. The record is from RNAcentral.